UAAUAUAUCGGAACGUACCCUAGAGUGGGGGAUAACGUAGCGAAAGUUACGCUAAUACCGCAUACGAUCUAAGGAUGAAAGUGGGGGAUCGCAAGACCUCAUGCUCGUGGAGCGGCCGAUAUCUGAUUAGCUAGUUGGUAGGGUAAAAGCCUACCAAGGCAUCGAUCAGUAGCUGGUCUGAGAGGACGACCAGCCACACUGGAACUGAGACACGGUCCAGACUCCUACGGGAGGCAGCAGUGGGGAAUUUUGGACAAUGGGCGAAAGCCUGAUCCAGCAAUGCCGCGUGAGUGAAGAAGGCCUUCGGGUUGUAAAGCUCUUUUGUCAGGGAAGAAACGGUGAGAGCUAAUAUCUUUUGCUAAUGACGGUACCUGAAGAAUAAGCACCGGCUAACUACGUGCCAGCAGCCGCGGUAAUACGUAGGGUGCAAGCGUUAAUCGGAAUUACUGGGCGUAAAGCGUGCGCAGGCGGUUUUGUAAGUCUGAUGUGAAAUCCCCGGGCUCAACCUGGGAAUUGCAUUGGAGACUGCAAGGCUAGAAUCUGGCAGAGGGGGGUAGAAUUCCACGUGUAGCAGUGAAAUGCGUAGAUAUGUGGAGGAACACCGAUGGCGAAGGCAGCCCCCUGGGUCAAGAUUGACGCUCAUGCACGAAAGCGUGGGGAGCAAACAGGAUUAGAUACCCUGGUAGUCCACGCCCUAAACGAUGUCUACUAGUUGUCGGGUCUUAAUUGACUUGGUAACGCAGCUAACGCGUGAAGUAGACCGCCUGGGGAGUACGGUCGCAAGAUUAAAACUCAAAGGAAUUGACGGGGACCCGCACAAGCGGUGGAUGAUGUGGAUUAAUUCGAUGCAACGCGAAAAACCUUACCUACCCUUGACAUGGCUGGAAUCCUUGAGAGAUCAGGGAGUGCUCGAAAGAGAACCAGUACACAGGUGCUGCAUGGCUGUCGUCAGCUCGUGUCGUG
This 963-nucleotide ribosomal RNA is filed under the name uncultured bacterium. Its description in RNAcentral is "bacterial SSU rRNA". It matches the Rfam family "Bacterial small subunit ribosomal RNA", at positions 111 to 1069 of the family's 1533-position model. The record is from RNAcentral.